Molecule: long non-coding RNA, 1381 nt
Organism: Oreochromis aureus
Lineage: Eukaryota; Metazoa; Chordata; Actinopteri; Cichliformes; Cichlidae
Source: Ensembl
GUUUGUGAUAUUUUAUUGAUAUUUGUGAAGAAAGGGUACAAAAUCUCCCACUCUGCAAAAAAAUCAUCUGAUCUGUAUCUACAUUGUCUUAUAGUUUACAGGAAAUUUUCACCCCAACCCCUUCAUUUUUUUAGUAACAAAAAACAGACUGAACUGUUUGUUUGUGUUGAAAAGUUUGUUUUGUCAAUUUUGGUCAUACAUUUCAAAGAAUAAUCCUCCUUGCAAAAUUGCUCAUUGGCUAAUAACUCAUGAUUGACAAGUUGUUAGCCAAAGAGCAAGCAGUUCCACAGUCUGACCUCAGCCUCUUUGUCACAUUCAUUUUUGUUGUUUUUAAACCAGGAUUGCAUCUGUGAAACUGCUAAUCACAGAGCACGGCACUUCAGAAACCAAUGGAUGGCAUCACGGUAGCUAUAUCCUCUUUUAUACUUUCUGUGUAUGUAACUAGCUAGCAAAGACGGCGUAGCAUUUAGCUAGAACCAGACAUUCUGCAGCAUUUUGUCUAAAGACAAAUAUAAGCAAAGUGUCCAAAUAAGUGUUUCUCAGAGUAUAUGUAUUUGUAAGUUGAACAUGUGCCUGCAACUGUAAAUGUUAAAAUAUGGCAUCCUCUUUUUUGUAGCUAAGAAUACCUGUAUUAGCUAGCAAUCACAGUUUUAACAUGUAAUUAGAUAAGUUUAAAUUCAUUCAUUGAGCUUUUUAAUGGCAGAAAAAAUAUAUAGUGAAAAAGUAGCUUCCUCAAAACCAAUUUUGUCCUUGAGAAUUUCUGCAGAAGUAAAAUAACUUCUUCCACAGGACGAAAGAGAAUGCUAAUGAGCAUGUGCAGAGUAAGUGUAAUCUCCAGCUUGUUUAUGCUCCGCUACAAUUGCCCCAUUUUACCAAAUGCUCCCGGUCUUCUACCGCUGGUAUUUGGGAUUGUGCUACUGGUCAGUAACAAUACCACAGACAUGUUUAUAAUCUUUGUUGAUAAGAAAAUAAAUGAAAAGGGAUGAGAUAGGCCAGGGGCUGCGUUUUUUUUGGAAGGUCUAACUGAGCAUCUGCAGUGGCUCCUAGGCAUGGCUUAUUUCCUUGGUACCUAAGAGAGAGGAUGACACACAGAGACAGAGGAAAGGGGUAAAGGUCAUGGAAACGAGGGCAAACAGAUGCAUAGUGUUGUGUGGAGUGCAAUAAAAGUAGGCUAUCUUUAGAUUCUGCCAAAACACAGCUGAUGGGUUGUUGUUUUUAAAGCCUCACAGACAUUGGUUCCUGGCCUUUGGAAGUUAUAUGGACUAACUCCCUGGGUCUGCUCUCCACUGAACCAAUAAAAGGCAAACCAGAACCACAGCACCUGUAUUCAUUAAACAACCUGUUUAGCAACCAUGCAGCGGAAGGAGAAGUCUGAGUCUGU